RNAcentral lists this ribosomal RNA (322 nucleotides) under uncultured eukaryote. RNAcentral describes it as "partial 18S ribosomal RNA". It matches the Rfam family "Eukaryotic small subunit ribosomal RNA", at positions 1470 to 1796 of the family's 1831-position model. The record is from RNAcentral.
CCCUUAGAUGUUCUGGGCCGCACGCGCGCUACACUGAUGCGUUCAACGAGUAUACAACCUUGAUCGAUAGGUCUGGGUAAUCUUUUGAAUGCGCAUCGUGCUAGGGAUAGACUGUUGCAAUUUUCAGUCUUGAACGAGGAAUUCCUAGUAAACGCAAGUCAUCAGCUUGUAUUGAUUACGUCCCUGCCCUUUGUACACACCGCCCGUCGCACCUACCGAUUGAAUGGUCCGGUGAAAUCUCGGGACGGCGGCUUGGUCGCUUGCGUCCGACUGCUGAAACUUGAUUAAACCAUAUCAUUUAGAGGAAGGUGAAGUCGUAACA